UCUAAAAGUAAUGCCUCCUAAUUGUUUACUCCGUCCUGAGGGAUUCGGGCAGGUUUCUUAUGACUAUUUUGUCUGUCUAUGUUUACCAUACAUGUUUGCAUCAGCAACGUAAAUGUCAUUGUUUUCCUGAACUGUUCCUCGUGCAUCUAGAAGAUUCCAAGACAGACGGCGCGUGCAGACCGCCACUCGGAAGUCCCUGUCUUCCUCGGCCGCUGACCUCGCCUCGCGCCUUCUCCUUCGGCGUGGGAGGACGAAGCGCAAGGCAGUCACGGGGGAUCUAAGCGUGCACUCGCGAGCGGUCACUCUUUUCGCUAAUUUUUGUAAGACUCAGUUGGCCUUGGGUGAAAAGUAUCAGAAAGAAGACAUAUUAUUUCAAGUGGAACGAAACAGCCACAGUGAGGAAGGAAACACCAGGUUCCUGACGUUUCGGACAGAAUAUGAUUCCUCUUCAGGUGCUGGAAGCCAAAAAUCAGUAUCGCCGAAACUUUUAUGCUUCAUUAAGACUGUUUCAUCCCCUCUUCUUUUUGCGUGCGUUACUGUUUUUGUUUUUGUUAACUUUUGUUUUUGUUAACUCUCUAAAGUACAGAUCUGUUGAUGAAUUUGUUAUUUCAUGCAUUUGCAUAAUCUGUAAUUUGAACAGUGUUUUAUGUGCACGUGUGUGCACAUAAUGUUACCAAUAACAUCUUUAUUUAGGCACGUGCAAAAUGUUUUAAUAUGACUGCAUGUACCAUUUAAUUUGAUAAGCAAUUUUAUACAACAACUGGAUUUUCUACUUAUUUUAUAGGCUCAUUCUUUUCAAAGUGGUCAAGUUGGCUGAAAAUAUGAUGCAUUUUUGCCAAGAGUUUCCUUUGCGGCAGUUCUCAGGGGCUUUUAUAAUGAGCAACUCAUUAUUUUUUGUUGUAUUCUAAACAUACAGCAUCAUUAGAUCAUUUCAUACAUAAUGCAUAAACAGCUCUGCAUCCUAUAUUUGGCUAAAAAGAUUCUUUAAAUGAAAUUAUUGCGUUGUCUCACCAUUGGCUAUCAAUAUUUGACUCGAAAAUUCUUGGGAAUAUUCAAAAGAAUAGAUGAAGUGAAACCUCA
Non-coding RNA from Penaeus vannamei (Pacific white shrimp), 1080 nucleotides. NCBI's taxonomy places the organism in Eukaryota, Metazoa, Arthropoda, Malacostraca, Decapoda, Penaeidae. The record is from RefSeq and is a predicted model, not a curated record.